RNAcentral lists this unclassified non-coding RNA (491 nucleotides) under Pomacea canaliculata. Its description in RNAcentral is "lipoxygenase homology domain-containing protein 1- like, transcript variant X5". Lineage: Eukaryota; Metazoa; Mollusca; Gastropoda; Architaenioglossa; Ampullariidae. The record is from RNAcentral.
CUGUGUUAGAUAAAUGUAAACACAUUCGUUUUAGUUGGAGCUUCUUGAUUCAAGCCGUUACCAUGUGGAAAAUUGCAUCUGUGUUCUGGCUUCUUGUAGGUUUGGGUGUCAAUGAUGCUAGAUGGAGAGAAGGUGAAGGUGAAACGUGUUAUGAUGAAAAAUUAUCGCAAGUUUAUUGUCAACGACUGGGUCCCAACACAAGAAGAAGAGAGGAAUGUCAACUUUGUAAUACAGCGCACUCCACCGUGUAGCGCCGGUCCUCUGCCGUGAUGGAUCAACGUGGCAAUGGUAGACAGCGGAUGACAAGGAUGGAGAGAAGUAACGUGGCUUUGGAGCAGAUUUCCUGAGGUCAACCUACAGUACUGCAAACUGAAAUUUUUUUUCGCCGUCUAAACUUUGAAGGCAUCCAGGACUCAAAUACUUGCUGAAAUUGCUUUUAUUUGUAGAACGUUCUGGCAUGUCAUAAUAAAGAACGUCUGUUCAUGCAUGAA